UACGAAGGGGGCUAGCGUUGUUCGGAUUUACUGGGCGUAAAGCGCGUUCAGGCGGUUUGGCAAGUCGGGCAUGAAAUCUCUCGGCUCAACCGGGAGAGGUUGUCCGAUACUGCUGGACUUGAGGGCAGUAGAGGGUGGUGGAAUUCCGGGUGUAGUGGUGAAAUGCGUAGAUAUCCGGAGGAACACCAGUGGCGAAAGCGGCCACCUGGACUGCACCUGACGCUGACACGCGAAAGCUAGGGGAGCGAACGGG
RNAcentral lists this ribosomal RNA (253 nucleotides) under uncultured bacterium. RNAcentral describes it as "partial 16S ribosomal RNA". It matches the Rfam family "Bacterial small subunit ribosomal RNA", at positions 524 to 776 of the family's 1533-position model. The record is from RNAcentral.